RNAcentral lists this non-coding RNA (97 nucleotides) under Platyophrya macrostoma. The record is from RNAcentral. Lineage: Eukaryota; Ciliophora; Colpodea; Cyrtolophosidida; Platyophryidae.
GGAAGAAGUUGAGAAAACGUCCCUCUCACGAGUCGCUCCUGACCCACUCUUGCAGUUUUCCGAGACCCACUCUCGCUGCUACUUACUCUCAGACGGA